CAGCCUCUUUUUAGAAUUUAUCUAGUAGGUUUUCUGGUUUUCACCAGAAACCACU
Gorilla gorilla gorilla (western lowland gorilla) is the source of this 55-nucleotide small nuclear RNA. Its record names the gene U7. It matches the Rfam family "U7 small nuclear RNA". From Rfam's summary of the family: Animal histone pre-mRNAs are spliced by a different mechanism than nuclear pre-mRNAs and self-splicing introns. This processing involves the U7 snRNP, which contains only one RNA species: U7. The record is from Ensembl. NCBI's taxonomy places the organism in Eukaryota, Metazoa, Chordata, Mammalia, Primates, Hominidae.